GCGUCGGUGGUUUUUGUUUCUUUCCUUCCUCUGUCUCUUCCCCGCGCCGCUCGAUCCCCUUUUCAUUUCGAACACGUAACCCAGAAGGCAACUGAGAGAGAUAUCCAUGGCGAUUUGGAGCUCCCCCUCGCCGCUCGUUGGUUGGUGGUGACUCGUCGGCGCUCUCCCUCCUACUGCCUCGCUCCCUCCGCCUCGUCGUUGUUUCUCCAGCCGAAGACCUGCAGCAUCUCUCCGCCCCGCAUCCACCUUGGCACCAUUAUUUCGCCGCUCGUCGGUUUUGUUCGAUUCGGAAGGUUCUAUGGAUGAUCCUGAUUUUGACAAAGCUUUGUAUGAUUUCUAUGUGUCGCAUAAAGCGAAUUUCCUGAAACGGAAGAUUACAGAUGCUGGAGCUCGCAAUGUGGUAUUUACGUUUCGUUGUUCUAUUCGCAUUUUCUGUACCCAACUACCACUAUGAUAGAGAUAGAUUUAAAUUUGUUUUUCCCCCUUGUUUGAUGUUUCUGCUAGAUGGUUUUUCAUUGUUGAUCUAGUGUAUUUUUAUCCUGAUUCCUUUUUUGUUUUGUGUUCCUUGUUCUGUUGUAGAAGCGCACACGGUCUUCUAAUUUUCCCGUAGCAAAUACAUUCGCUAGAUACUCUAGCAAGUUGUUCUCCACUGUUAUUGGCGGCUUGUCUCCUCGGCAAGUACGUGUUCUUCAGAGUUAUGGGGCUAGUUGUUCUCCACAAGUUUGUGAGGACAGUGGUGCCACUUAGGUUUGUCAAAUGGCUAGCAUCCAAAUUUGAUGUUCGUGCUUCAGUGAUUCAGAUUAGGAAAACGUUUAUUCUGAUUUGCGAAUAUGUCACCCAUGAUAUAUUAGGUCUUCCUGUUGACGGUGAGCCUAUUGUGUCCGAUGAUGCUGGCUGUGAGUUUAUCUUGUCUCAUUUCAAUGUGACUAGCAUCCCACCAGUUUCAUUCUUCUGCAAUAAACUAAAAUCCACCUCUGAAGAAUUGCCCGAUGAAGACAUUUUCAUCUGCUUCAUGUGCAUUGCCUUGUCCACCUUCUUGUGUCCAAAUCCAAUAUUAGUACUCUGUAAUUCUGGAGUUUUUAUUGUAAUCCAUGAUGGUUUUCAGUGUAACUAUUAGUUGAUUUUGCUCUGUAAUGCCUAGUGGAAUUACAGUGUACUUUAAUAGGCUUUACAUAGUAAAUCUUAGUGGAUUUACAGUGUAAUUUUACACAGAAUCCUUGUGGAUUUUUAGUGUACUUUUAGUUUAUUUUACAUGUUUUUUCUUAGUGGUAUUGCAGACAUUUUGUUUAGUGGUUUUUGCUGUGUAAUUCUUAGUCGAAUUUUAGUAUUUUUCUCAGUAGAUUUUUUAAUGAUAUUUAAGUGGUAUUUUUACAGUGUAUUUUCCAAGUGGUAUUUUCCAGUGGAAUUUCAGUUCAUUUUUUUA
Molecule: RNA transcript, 1423 nt
Organism: Aegilops tauschii subsp. strangulata
Lineage: Eukaryota; Viridiplantae; Streptophyta; Magnoliopsida; Poales; Poaceae
Source: RefSeq, a predicted model, not a curated record